CUGGCUGCUAGGGAGGAAGGAUCUCUUCUGGAGAUCUGCUCUGCUGGAGUUUUGUAAGUGAGCCCAGGAUAGGGGUUGCUGGAAUAGCCAAGAAACCCUCCUCUGCCAGCAUGAAAGACACCAUGACAGGUGCAACAAGCAUACCAACACGACAAAAUUUGCAUUGGUGGCACCAUGAAUGCAUCUGCUUACAGCAUAUUGCCCAAGGAAAGGAAGGGAAUUACUAACUCGCAGCCCAGCACCAAUAGCAUAUCUAGGACCAUUGUAACCAAAUAACUAGGACCACCUCAUUGAGCAAAAUGGAAGUGGAAGGAGAGAAAUCCACAGGAUUUAGAGACGUGAUCCUCAAGCAAAGGCUUCAAGGACCAGCACAACAAUUAUCAUCUACGUUGAAAGCUUUCAUGAAGGGAACUGAACACCUCUGCAGGCAGCAAAGGACCUGAGAAAAAAGAACUCCAGUGAAAAAAAAAUUACCUAGAUAUCUGAAACUGAACUGGACAGACAAAUCAUCCCAGUAGUCCAGCUAUCUGGACAGAAUUAACCUCUCUGCAUCAAGCAGGAAAAGGAUGAGAGACUUGCUGCAGAAAUAUGCACCCAGGUGACCCUAGUGCAAAGGACUGACUGCCUUGAUCUCGUAGGCUAACUGCACUUGUCUUUGAUCUACUUACUGCCUAAGAGGAGAAGCAACUGGAUCUAAUCAGGAUGAGAUACAGACAAGCAUAACGUCUGCUUGGCUAUUGUCUCCAUGAUGCAUUCAUGCACAGGAUUUCUAAAACUAAGAGGAACACAUCACAGCACAUAUCUAAGUCUUGUGCCCUAUGAAGACAAAUGGAACUCAAACAACUGCAGAGCUCCUGCCCCAAGGAAUUGUUUCCAUGGAUGACAAUCAGUGGGAUCCCAGAGGAGCCACAAACUCACAGACUGGUGGGCUCCUUCUUCCAGCUGCUGUAUGUACAGAUAGCUCACUUUACACUUUCCCACUUUGCUCCAAAAAAAAGGUGAUAUAAUCACAUCAGGACUUUCAGAGUUUAAGCUGCAGAAGCCAUUUAUUCACAUCACCAGCUAGGGCUCAACAACCCAACUGACAUUCUUUGUGCUGAUACUUUUUUUUUUUUUCCAAACCAAAAAGUUCACAUGAACAUCAGCCCACAAAUCAGCCAUCAUCACAGCGCAAGAAUCUGACCACUUUUUUAUACAUGCUAAAGCUAAUCAACAGCUAUGCAAGACACCAGAGCAGGUGUGUUAGGCUAGACACAACAGAAGGGGACAGCAGGAUACUGCUACUGGCACCCAUUCAUUUACUUCCCUUUUACAGGUUUAUAGUACCAUAUAAACAAUUGCUCAGGUUUUACUAUACUGUCAUUUAGGAUGACUAUGCUGUAAGGCUCAGUCAUCUGAUCUCCAAUUUGUUUGCUUUUGAGUCCACUUAAUAGCUAUUUGUUCUUGUGUCAUUCACCUAGGUGAUUAAAAUAUCUCAUGCAAUAAUCAGAUUUUCUAGGCUCCUCUCAUCCUUUGAAAACUAAAAGCAUUCUCCAGAAGAUUCUCCACACUCAUAAUCAUUUAAGUGCAAGAUUAACUCAACUUCUCAUGUUAUUGAAGUCUCACUAGCACUCUACCGAGUCACAAAAUUGAUAAGGACCCUCUGAAAAUGGCUAAACCAAAAACUACAGUGUUUGGCAUUCACAGCUUUCUCUAGCACAACAGCACAUAUGCAAGAAUGCCAACCAUCAGAGAUGGUUGUGCAGCACAUUAUUAUUUUUCCCUCUGUUAACUGCCCUCUUUUCAUGCCUUGUAUUUUCAGAGCUCGCUGAAAGAUAACAUUCUUCUCCUUCAAUGCAAGUCUCUCUUGUCUCCAAAGUCUUUUUAAGAUCAAACCAAGUGAACAAAUAUUUAAACCACACCCCAAAGUCAUGACAGCUCAAAAGUCACACAUCAGUAAGAUCGUAGCCUCUAGAAAAGAUAAGUGUAUCUAAGGUAUAGAAUCUUCCAUUCACUAUUUGUUCCCCUCUUGCAAGCUCCAGAUUUGGGAGAAACUCCAAACAGAAGAGACUUCAGCAAGAAACCAUUCUCAUUUCCUCACAGCAAAAUUUCUCAGCUGGAAGGCAUUCUUUCAUAUGGAACUAGAUACAAAGACUUGUUUGUGCUUAAGCAUAAGUUUUCCCAACAUCUUCCGAGAUGAUGAGAGAAGUUCAGCACUUCUGCUUGAAACCAAUCAUGUGGCAAGGUAAAUGCAUCGUUCUGACGUGACAUUAUGGAUGAGCAUAUUCAGUAAACCUCAAUUCAGAAAUCAACUAAGACAGACUGAGCUUUUAUGGUCUCAUGGGAUUCCUGCAAACAAAACAGAUAGGCAAAUUUAAAAAAAAAAAAAAAAAAAAAAAAAAAAAUCAAUUGAAGUUUUUAUCUGAUCACCCCACACACACAGCCAAAGCUGGCCAUGAGACUUCCUAAUGUUUCAGUUCUUCACACUGCUGUAGUUAAGGAUUAACAGCCUUUUUUAGCAUCCUAACCUUCACAGAAGCUGUAUCUCUACCCAGGCAAACGUUUCAAGCGUCUUCAUGGAAGCAGUGUGUAUUCCAUACGUCUCAGAGCUGAUCCAAGGGGGUUAGCUGAACAUGGCACUUUCAGGAUGCAUUUGAGCAGCUGUGCCUGCCCAGCUGGCCCAUCAGACCCAAGGCAGCCUGUGGCCAGCCAGCACAGAGUAACAGCAAGCAGUCCUCCAGCAGGUCUCUCUAGAAGAUCCUACACUGCACAACUGUCAAGACUCCAUCAUGGACUCUGCAAUCCCACACAGCCACAGAACAGCUUCAAGUUUUCUCAAGUGCGGUACCUUCAUAGGAGAAAGAGUCGUCUUCUCCAUGAAUAGUACCAGAAACACAGGACAAAAGACGAUAACAAACUUAGGCACCAGAGGCAAUCCAACUAACAGUAGGAAGACUUUGCUUAACUCAAGUAAGUCUUCCAAACAGUACUAAACGAACUAAAGAAUUCUCCUGCAAAUAGCUGGACUGGCUUAAGAGUUCCUGUGACAAAAGGAGCUGCUAUGGGGGCCAGAAGAGCUCCUCAGUGCAGUGCAAAGGAAACUUGAAGUUGUGCCUAACUCGGGGAAAAAAAAAAAAAGACAA
Lagopus muta (rock ptarmigan) is the source of this 3122-nucleotide long non-coding RNA. RefSeq lists it as uncharacterized. Lineage: Eukaryota; Metazoa; Chordata; Aves; Galliformes; Phasianidae. The record is from RefSeq and is a predicted model, not a curated record. The transcript is spliced from 2 exons.